This 668-nucleotide ribosomal RNA is filed under the name uncultured bacterium. RNAcentral's name for it is "bacterial SSU rRNA". It matches the Rfam family "Bacterial small subunit ribosomal RNA", at positions 102 to 751 of the family's 1533-position model. The record is from RNAcentral.
ACGGGUGAGUAAUGUUUGGCAACCGACCUUUUGGAGGGGGAUAACUACUGGAAACUGCUGAUUUACCGACUAAUAUCGAAAGAUUUGGGUGCGGGACCUUUGGGGCACUUGCCCUUUGAUGACCCUUAGUGGGAUUAUGUAGUUGGGGAGGUCAAGGCUCACCAUACCAACGAUCUCUAGCUGGUCUGACAGGCUGACCGGCAGCAAUGUGACUGCCUCACUGCCCAGACUCCCCUCGGACGCAGCAGUGGGGAAUAUUGCGUAGUGGGGGCAACCCUGACUCAAUGCUGCAACGCGGAUGAAGAAAUGCUUCGUGCUGUAAAGUUCUUUCGGUAGCGAGGAAAGCAUUUAGUUUAAUAGACGGCUUGAUUGACGUUAACUACCUAAGAAGCACCGGCUAACUACGUGCCAUCAGCCGCGGUAAUACGUAGGGUGCGAGCGUUGUCCGGAAUAAUUGGGCGUAAAGAGUACGCAAGCGGCGACUUACGUGACGUGUGAAAUCCUCGGGUUUUAACCCUGGGAAUUGCAUUUGGUACUGCGCCAGUUAGAGUUCAUUUUCGGAAGAGAUAGAAAUUCCACUGUGUAUCGAGUGAAAAUGCUUCAAAUGAUGCGGAAAAAAUACCCUAAGGCGAAGGCCGCCCCCUUGGGGAAUGUAUGUGUCGCUCCUG